UACGGGGGAUGCAAGCGUUAUCCGGAAUCAUUGGGCGUAAAGCGCCUGUAGGUUGUUUAUUAAGUCUGUUGUUAAAGACCGGGGCUUAACCCUGGGAAAGCAAUGGAAACUACUAGACUUGAGUAUGGCAGGGGUAGAGGGAAUUUCUAGUGUAGCGGUGAAAUGCGUAGAUAUUAGAAAGAACACCGGCGGCGAAAGCGCUCUACUGGACCAUUACUGACACUCAGAGGCGAAAGCUAGGGGAGCAAAAGGGAUUAGAUACCCCUGUAGUCCUAGCCGUAAACGAUGGAUACUAGAUGUUGCGCUUAUUGUGCAGUGUCGUAGCUAACGCGUUAAGUAUCCCGCCUGGGGAGUACGAUCGCAAGGUUG
Molecule: ribosomal RNA, 369 nt
Filed under: uncultured phototrophic eukaryote
Lineage: Eukaryota
Description: SSU rRNA
Rfam family: Bacterial small subunit ribosomal RNA
Source: RNAcentral